AUUGAACGCUGGCGGCAGGCUUAACACAUGCAAGUCGAACGAGUGGCGGACGGGUGAGUAAUGCAUGGGAAUCUGGCUUAUGGAGGGGGAUAACUACGGGAAAAUGUAGCUAAUACCGCAUACCAUAGGAUGAGCCCAUGUGGGAUUAGGUAGGUGGUGAGGUAAAGGCUCACCAAGGCGACGAUCCCUAGCUGGUCUGAGAGGAUGACCAGCCACACUGGGACUGAGACACGGCCCAGACUCCUACGGGAGGCAGCAGUAGGGAAUCUUCGGCAAUGGGCGAAAGUCUGACGGAGCAACGCCGCGUGUGUGAUGAAGGUCUUCGGGUCGUAAAGCUCUGUUAGUAGGGAAGCGGUACCUAAACAGAAAGCCACGGCUAACUACGUGCCAGCAGCCGCGGUAAUUC
This 406-nucleotide ribosomal RNA is filed under the name uncultured bacterium. Its description in RNAcentral is "partial 16S ribosomal RNA". It matches the Rfam family "Bacterial small subunit ribosomal RNA", at positions 30 to 526 of the family's 1533-position model. The record is from RNAcentral.